This 253-nucleotide ribosomal RNA is filed under the name uncultured bacterium. Its description in RNAcentral is "partial 16S ribosomal RNA". It matches the Rfam family "Bacterial small subunit ribosomal RNA", at positions 524 to 776 of the family's 1533-position model. The record is from RNAcentral.
UACGUAGGUGGCGAGCGUUGUCCGGAAUUACUGGGUGUAAAGCGCGUGUAGGCGGGAGGCCAAGUCUGUGGUGAAAUCGCUCGGCUUAACUGGGCGGGGUCCAUGGAAACUGGUCACCUGGAGGUCGGUAGAGGCAAGUGGAAUUCCCGGUGUAGUGGUGAAAUGCGUAGAGAUCGGGAUGAACACCAGUGGCGAAGGCGGCUUGCUGGGCCGGACCUGACGCUGAGACGCGAAGGCGUGGGGAGCGAACGGG